This 293-nucleotide long non-coding RNA is filed under the name Elaeis guineensis (African oil palm). RNAcentral describes it as "long non-coding RNA (EGUI_LNC072094)". Lineage: Eukaryota; Viridiplantae; Streptophyta; Magnoliopsida; Arecales; Arecaceae. The record is from RNAcentral.
CCUAGCCGAAGUCCACCAACCCUUUUCUUAUUUAGGAAUUUCUAUACUUUCAAGCGUCACCCCUCGGUAAAGGACUGGUGAUACUUCUCCCCCCAGUUCGGUAGAAAGGGGUUGUUGAAAGGUGUCCCCUCUUCUAUCCACAACUGAAAGGAGAGGUUCUUCUACGUCCAAUGCCCAACCUUGGAGCUGGGAUUACCCCCCUGGGGCUCUCUGAGGGAUUCCGUCCGUAGGGCUUCUAGCCUGGAAAGGGACGACCUCGAAGCAUCCAGUAAGCUCGAGGCCUAUCCAGCCCC